Molecule: ribosomal RNA, 911 nt
Filed under: Plectosphaerella cucumerina
Lineage: Eukaryota; Fungi; Ascomycota; Sordariomycetes; Glomerellales; Plectosphaerellaceae
Description: eukaryotic LSU rRNA
Rfam family: Eukaryotic large subunit ribosomal RNA
Source: RNAcentral
UUUCGUACCCCGGGUGACUUAAGCAUAUCAAUAAGCGGAGGAAAAGAAACCAACAGGGAUUGCCUCAGUAACGGCGAGUGAAGCGGCAACAGCUCAAAUUUGAAAUCUGGCUCCUUCGGGGCCCGAGUUGUAAUUUGCAGAGGAUGCGUCGGGUACGGGUGCCUUCCGAGUUCCCUGGAACGGGACGCCAUAGAGGGUGAGAGCCCCGUCUGGUAGGACACCCAGCCCGUGUGACGCUCCCUCGACGAGUCGAGUAGUUUGGGAAUGCUGCUCUAACGGGAGGUAUACUCCUUCCAAGGCUAAAUACCGGCUGGAGACCGAUAGCGCACAAGUAGAGUGAUCGAAAGAUGAAAAGCACUUUGAAAAGAGAGUCAAACAGCACGUGAAAUUGUUAAAAGGGAAGCGCUCGCUACCAGACUUGGGUUCGGCGGUUCAACCGGGGCCACGCCCCGGGGCAUUCCGCCGGCCCAGGCCAGCAUCAGCUUUCCGUCGGGGGUAAAGGCGUCGGGAAUGUGGCUCCCCUUCGGGGGAGUGUUAUAGCCCGUCGUGUCAUACCCUUCGGGGGGCUGAGGUACGCGCUUCUGCAAGGAUGCUGGCGUAAUGGUAGCUAGUGACCCGUCUUGAAACACGGACCAAGGAGUCAACCUUAUGUGCGAGUGCCCGGGCGUAAAACCCCAGCGCGGAAUGAAAGUGAACGUAGGUGAGAGCUUCGGCGCAUCACCGACCGAUCCUGAUGUCCUCGGACGGAUUUGAGUGAGAGCAUAUAGGGUUGGACCCGAAAGAAGAUGAACUAUGCGUGUGUAGGGUGAAGCCAGAGGAAACUCUGGUGGAGGCUCGCAGCGGUUCUGACGUGCAAAUCGAUCGUCAAACAUGCGCAUGGGGGCGAAAGACUAAUCGAUCCUCCCACGCCC